This 208-nucleotide non-coding RNA is filed under the name Barnesiella viscericola. The record is from RNAcentral. Lineage: Bacteria; Pseudomonadati; Bacteroidota; Bacteroidia; Bacteroidales; Barnesiellaceae.
UCUUUACACCCGCAUUCCGGUUCGGCCCCGUCGGGUGGCGGUGUCGAUAAAAAGGGAAUCGGGUGAGAAUCCCGAGCAGUCCCGCUGCUGUAAUUCCUGCGAAAGUCCGUUGACUCGAAGCCACUGACGAGAAUCUGUUUCUGCCACGUCGGGAAGGCGUCACCGGACAGGGAAGAGCCAGAAGACCUGCCGGCGUGAGAGAGAAGCA